GACAGAGGGUGCGAACGUUGUUCGGAAUUACUGGGCAUAAAGAGCACGUAGGUGGUCUGCUAAGUCGUGUGUGAAAUCCCCCGGCUCAACCGGGGAAUAGCGCUCGAUACUGGCAGGCUCGAGGUGGGUAGGGGUGAGCGGAACUCCAGGUGGAGCGGUGAAAUGCGUAGAUAUCUGGAGGAACACCGGUGGCGAAAGCGGCUCACUGGACCCAAUCUGACACUGAGGUGCGAAAGCUAGGGUAGCAAACGGG
RNAcentral lists this ribosomal RNA (253 nucleotides) under uncultured bacterium. RNAcentral's name for it is "partial 16S ribosomal RNA". It matches the Rfam family "Bacterial small subunit ribosomal RNA", at positions 524 to 776 of the family's 1533-position model. The record is from RNAcentral.